CCUACGGGAGGCAGCAGUGGGGAAUUUUCCGCAAUGGGCGAAAGCCUGACGGAGCAACGCCGCGUGAGGGAUGAAGGCCUCUGGGCUGUAAACCUCUUUUAUCAAGGAAGAAGAUCUGACGGUACUUGAUGAAUAAGCCACGGCUAAUUCCGUGCCAGCAGCCGCGGUAAUACGGGAGUGGCAAGCGUUAUCCGGAAUUAUUGGGCGUAAAGCGUCCGCAGGCGGUCUUGUAAGUCUGUCGUUAAAGCGUGGAGCUCAACUCCAUUUCGGCGGUGGAAACUACAGGACUAGAGUGUGGUAGGGGCAGAGGGAAUUCCCGGUGUAGCGGUGAAAUGCGUAGAUAUCGGGAAGAACACCAGUGGCGAAGGCGCUCUGCUGGGCCAUAACUGACGCUCAUGGACGAAAGCUAGGGGAGCGAAAGGGAUUAGAUACCCCUGUAGUCCUAGCCGUAAACGAUGAACACUAGGUGUCGGGGGAAUCGACCCCCUCGGUGUCGUAGCUAACGCGUUAAGUGUUCCGCCUGGGGAGUACGCACGCAAGCGUGAAACUCAAAGGAAUUGACGGCUGNGANGCGAGCGACACGAGGAGAGG
This 591-nucleotide ribosomal RNA is filed under the name uncultured bacterium. RNAcentral describes it as "bacterial SSU rRNA". It matches the Rfam family "Bacterial small subunit ribosomal RNA", at positions 338 to 944 of the family's 1533-position model. The record is from RNAcentral.